ACAGCCAUAUUAUGUUGAAGCAAUAGUUCUCGUAUGAUCACCGAAGUUAAGCAAUGUCAAGCCUGCUCAGUACCUAGAUGGGUAACCGCUUCGGAAUACCAGGUGCUGUAAG
Molecule: non-coding RNA, 112 nt
Organism: Acanthosepion pharaonis
Lineage: Eukaryota; Metazoa; Mollusca; Cephalopoda; Sepiida; Sepiidae
Source: the annotation of a GenBank genome assembly